GUUUUUUGCGAGUUGUGCUGCCACUGUAGGUUCUCCUUGAUGCUUGGAAGGUGAGGCUGGGCGGCUUAAAACAGCAUAAACCAUCAGAGCACACUGUGCUAUGGCACUCUGACAUUUUCAUGAUGAAGAGAACAACAAUAAGGAGUGGAUGAGCCAGAAGAGCUUCCCCCGAGAGAAUAUUUAGGCUACUGUAUGUCCUUGUGCAAGAGGUCACUCACCUCUGUUGUGUCUCGUCUCCAGGAUGUUCAGGCUAAAAGAGUCCCCAGGGUAUGUGAGCACCAAUUUAAAGGUUCCAGGAGAAACCAUGUGAUAAUUAGUGUAGGGGUGUUAAAUUAAUCUGCUGUUCAGGUUUUCUAUCAUUCUAUCGUAACGUGUAACGUAAAUUAAGAUCAUGCAGACUAUUUGACAUUAGUGUAUUAAAGGGUGUUUUUAUGUAUUUGUUGUGUUAUGUGUAGUUAUAAUGUGAGUGGCAGAUUUCCCUAUACUGUGGUAGGGGGUGAGGUCAUUUCCAGUUGCAGGCUACAUAAGGCAGCCAGUUUCCAUCAAGGGCUGCUACUCUCAGGACCACAUGCAGCCUGUGGUCCACAGUAUUUUAUAUGGAGGAUUAUGACUGUUAUUGUUACUAAGUCUUCAUUAUGGGUGAAAUAAACACCUUGUUGGUGUGCACCUAAUCGCCGCCUCAAGCGUCUUCCUUUUAAAGUCCAGCCGCUACACAGCCAUCCGAACAAUUUUAUAUGCUUGCCAACUGCAGCAUUUUACACAUGCGUGCAGCGCUUCAAAUGCAAUUCAUUUCUAUUUAUUUUGUCAGUGUUGCACAUCCAAUUGAUUUCAAGGUGCUCCUGCAGCUUCUGGUCAGAGUAGCAUCCUCUGCGGACCACAGGCUGUUGAGGAACUGAUGCUAAUCUAGAUAGAGGGAAGA
This is a long non-coding RNA of Thunnus maccoyii (southern bluefin tuna), 919 nucleotides long. RefSeq lists it as uncharacterized. Lineage: Eukaryota; Metazoa; Chordata; Actinopteri; Scombriformes; Scombridae. The transcript is spliced from 3 exons. The record is from RefSeq and is a predicted model, not a curated record.